RNAcentral lists this long non-coding RNA (218 nucleotides) under Elaeis guineensis (African oil palm). RNAcentral's name for it is "long non-coding RNA (EGUI_LNC049466)". Lineage: Eukaryota; Viridiplantae; Streptophyta; Magnoliopsida; Arecales; Arecaceae. The record is from RNAcentral.
AUUCCUCAGGGUUUGGGAAGAGAGAAAAAAUAAGAAAAAAAUUAUUUUCUUCUCUAUCUUUCUUUCACUUCUUCAUCUCCUUCAAAAGUUCAUCUUCAAUCUCUAAAAAGAUUUUAGAGAUUUAAAAAAAAAGAUCCAGACUAGCCAAGAAGAAGGUCUUCAUGUGGGCUAGUACUCCCGAGAAGACCGAUCAGAUUGGAGCUUCGAGUGGACUUCCC